Molecule: ribosomal RNA, 468 nt
Filed under: uncultured bacterium
Lineage: Bacteria
Description: partial 16S ribosomal RNA
Rfam family: Bacterial small subunit ribosomal RNA
Source: RNAcentral
GACGAACGCUGGCGGCGUGCUUAACACAUGCAAGUCGAACGGAAAGGCCCUGCUUUUGUGGGGUGCUCGAGUGGCGAACGGGUGAGUAACACGUGAGUAACCUGCCCUUGACUUUGGGAUAACUUCAGGAAACUGGGGCUAAUACCGGCUAGGAGCUCCUGCUGCAUGGUGGGGGUUGGAAAGUUUCGGCGGUGGGGGAUGGACUCGCGGCUUAUCAGCUGGUUGGUGGGGUAGUGGCUUACCAAGGCUUUGACGGGUAGCCGGCCUGAGAGGGUGACCGGCCACAUUGGGACUGAGAUACGGCCCAGACGCCUACGGGAGGCAGCAGUGGGGAAUAUUGCACAAUGGGCGGAAGCCUGAUGCAGCAACGCCGCGUGCGGGAUGACGGCCUUCGGGUUGUAAACCGCUUUCGCCUGUGACGAAGCGUGAGUGACGGUAAUGGGUAAAGAAGCACCGGCUAACUACGUG